CUUUAUUGGAGAGUUUGAUCCUGGCUCAGGAUGAACGCUGGCGGCGUGCCUAAUACAUGCAAGUCGAGCGAAUGGAUUGAGAGCUUGCUCUCAAGAAGUUAGCGGCGGACGGGUGAGUAACACGUGGGUAACCUGCCCAUAAGACUGGGAUAACUCCGGGAAACCGGGGCUAAUACCGGAUAACAUUUUGAACCGCAUGGUUCGAAAUUGAAAGGCGGCUUCGGCUGUCACUUA
This 234-nucleotide ribosomal RNA is filed under the name Bacillus sp. 5mfcol3.1. Its description in RNAcentral is "16S rRNA. Bacterial SSU". It matches the Rfam family "Bacterial small subunit ribosomal RNA", at positions 1 to 221 of the family's 1533-position model. Lineage: Bacteria; Bacillati; Bacillota; Bacilli; Caryophanales; Bacillaceae. The record is from RNAcentral.